GGUAAAUCACCCGACCGACCAUCUCCCUGACCCGAGUCAUUUUGGGCCAAACACCCAUUCUGAUAAUCAACCAGACCACAGUAAUGUUGAGGACACAAACAAAAUAGAAGCUAAAGACAAAAACAAGGGUACUGAUAAGACCGAUAAAAAGAAACCUAAACUGACGCUGAAAGAGAAACGGAAGAAAAAGAAGGAAAAGAAAGAAAAUCUACGAGGGGCAUCGGAAUCAGCAGCUAUUGUAAUGGCUGGUACGAACAAUCAAAACCUGCAG
Macrosteles quadrilineatus (aster leafhopper) is the source of this 271-nucleotide long non-coding RNA. RefSeq lists it as uncharacterized. The record is from RefSeq and is a predicted model, not a curated record. The transcript is spliced from 4 exons. Lineage: Eukaryota; Metazoa; Arthropoda; Insecta; Hemiptera; Cicadellidae.